GCCGUGGUGGCACGUGUCUGUAAUCCAAGUCACUUGGAGUCUGAGGUUGGCGGGAUCGAGUGAGCUUAGGAGCUCUGUCGAACGGGUAUCAAUAUGGUAUUCCUGGGGUAGCCGGGGGCCACCAGGUCAUCUAAGGAGGUGUGCACCGGCCCAGGACGGAAACGAAGCAGGUCAAUGCUCCUAUGCCGUCCAGUAGUGGGAUAGUGCCUCUGAGUACACGUUGCAGUGCAGCCUGGGCAAGACAUUGAAACUCAAACUUU
RNAcentral lists this signal recognition particle RNA (260 nucleotides) under Hucho hucho (huchen). Its description in RNAcentral is "Metazoan signal recognition particle RNA (ENSHHUG00000027664.1)". It matches the Rfam family "Metazoan signal recognition particle RNA". From Rfam's summary of the family: The signal recognition particle (SRP) is a universally conserved ribonucleoprotein. It is involved in the co-translational targeting of proteins to membranes. The eukaryotic SRP consists of a 300-nucleotide 7S RNA and six proteins: SRPs 72, 68, 54, 19, 14, and 9. Lineage: Eukaryota; Metazoa; Chordata; Actinopteri; Salmoniformes; Salmonidae. The record is from RNAcentral.